GGCGCGGCCGGGCGGGGCUGGACGCCCGCGGUUUCGCUUGAGUUGGACUCCUGCGCGCUCCCACCGGAGUUCGGGGGCGGCGGGGGAAAGGCCUGCGCCCUGCCGCGCGGGAAGACGAUUCCCGGCGACCGCCCGAUCCCUCGCCAGCGUCGUGGGGUAGGGCCUGUGGGGGCCUGCCGCUUCGUCCACAGUCCGUCGUGAGGCCGGCAGCGGACACGUGCUCAUCCCACUGGGAGGCCCCGGGCAGCCCGGAGGACGCGCCUAGGAGAGAAAGGGGGUUUGGGAGAAGCCCGAGGACCCGUCCCGCGACUGGGCGCGCCCUAUGCAAAUGAAUGGGCGGGGCCCUCGUGCUGCUGAACGAGGGGCAAACCAGAGAAUUUGGCAGUCCGAUUGGGGGGGUCCCUUCAGAGACCCACAGGCUGGUGGCAUCGGCGUGGAGUGCCCAGGUUCACAGUGCAGCUUGUGGCUCGUGUCCCUCUUGCAGGGUGUUCUCCUGCGUCUCCGUUUUCUUCAGCUUGGCCUUAUCGAAGCUGGCGAUUUCCCCCAUGUGUGGUUUGUCUGCCAUUUUCUUAAAACAAUCCGUGUAGUCGGGUUCCGAGCCCAUGAUCCUGGUGCUCCCACUCGCGUUGCUGCAGCAAGAGACCAACUCAUUUACUUUAAAUGAGUGAAUUGUGUGCUAUGUGAGUGAUGUCUUAAUAAAGCUCUUUAUAAAAAAAAAAUGUAAUAAAAAAAGCCUCCUUUUCCUCAAGGAACUGACGAGCUUGUGGGACAGCAGAGUUAAGAAGGUGGCUGCCAGUGGCCGCUGGUCAUGCCUGUAAUCCUAGAGCUUUGGGAGGCCUGGAAGGAUCACUUGAGGCCAGGAGUUAAAUAACAGCCUAGGUAAUGUAGUGGGACCCUGUCUCUACAAAAGCUGUAUUUAAAAAAAGAGUUAACAAGGAAGUAAUACAACUUCAAGUUGUGGCAAACCUUUCCCUCACAGCUACUCCUUCUUUCUUCACGCCUCAAGAUGGAAGAUGUACCUUGCUCCUUGCCACAGCACUUACUUAACUAUAUUUUAAAUUGUCUUUCUCUGAACAGUACGAUCCUUUAGGUAGGAACAAGUGUGUCGUUGAACUUUGGGUCACCAGGGCUAGCGGCAGUGCCUAGCACACAGUAGGCUUAAUAGUUGUUUGUUGAAUGGUGAAUAAAUGAGAGAGCCAGAACUGGAACUUGGGUGUCCCAAGACCCAGACCAGAUUCCUUCCAACUACACCCAAUCAUAUUGACGUCAGAAACGAAUGCUUUCCAAAUCUGACGGCUAGCCAGAGAGACGUCUACAACAAAAACAGUUGCGUUUUCUACAAGCUGUCAGUUUCCAGGUGUAUGUUUACAUUUUACACUGUAAAUGUAAUUUUGCUGUUUCCAUUAAUUAUGCUAUGUCCUUUGAAUAAUCGUUUCACUCACCUGAUUUACAGCUCUCUCCCUUGAGUUCAUCACAUAGCACCAGCUUUGCUGUCAUCUUUAGCAUCCUGCAAUUGCGACUUCUCACCCACUUGGCUGGUCAACACUGAGUAGGGGGCUUUCUGGCCUAUGUGCACAGGGUUUCAAAGGCCCAGAUUUUAGAGAUUUGGUUUUUCACUUACCAAGAAGCACAGAGUAGAACUAUAUCAGCAAAGGUUAUGUAGAAAAUUAUAUUUUUCACGGCCUCUUGAGAUUUAACUUUGCAACAAACGUUCCGUACUACUUUUAACAAUCAGCUUUAUUGGCUGGGUGCAGUGGCUCACACCUGUAAUUCCAGCACUUUGGGAGGCCAAGGCGAGUGGAUCACCUGAGGUCUGGAGUUCAAGGCCAGCCUGGUAAACAUGGUGAAACCCUGUCUCUACUAAAAAUAGAAAAAUUAGCCAGGCAUGGUGGCGAGCACCUGUAGUCCCAGCUACUUGGGAGGCUGAGGCAGGGGAAUAACUUGAACUUGGGAGGCAGAAGUUGCAAUGAGCCACAAUCGCACCAUGGCACUCCAGCCUGGGUGACAAGAGUGAGACUCAGUCUCAAAAAAAAAAAAAAAAGCUUUAUUGAGAUAUAAUUCAUAUACCACAAAAUUCAAUCAGUUAAAUGGUACAGUUCAAUGGCUUUUAGUAUACACAGAGCUGUGCAACCAUCACCACAAUCUGAUUUUAGAACAUUUUCGUCACUUCAAAAAUAAACCCAUACUGGUAGCAUUCACUCCCCAUUCUUCUCUCCCCUACUCUUGACCCUAGCCAACUACUAAUCUACUUUUUUUGUCUUUAUAGGUUUGCCUAUUCUGAAUAUUUCAUAUAAAUGGAAUCAUAUAGUAUGUGGAUUUUUGUGACUGGGUUCAUUCACUAAGCAUGUUUUCAAGGUCCAGCUAUGUUACAGCAUGUAUCAGUAUUUCACUUCCUCUUAUAGCUGAAUAAUAUUCUAUGAUAUGGAUAUACCAUAUUGGGCAUUUGGUUGUUUCCAUUUUUUUGUCUCUUAUGAAUAAUGCUGCUGUAAACAUUCACAUAUGUUUCUCUACUACUUUUUAAAUCAUAACUUUGUUUCAAAAAUUCCUCCACUCCUCUGAUGCUCUUGUCUCUCAGUAGGCUCUCCAGUAAUUUACAAAGUUCUUCUAGGUUUUUUAUAAUUGAUUAUUAAUGGUUAUCAAAGGCCUAACGUUUACCUGGCAGUAGCUUUCCUGUUACUGUAAUUAUUACCAAUAUAGAAAAUAUUUCACUGAACUAAUGAAAUAACUGUAUCUCCGAUGACAUUUUGUGACCUGUUAAAAGAUGCCAAGGAAGGCUGGGUGCGGUGGCUCACACCUGUAAUCCCAGCACUUUGGGAGGCUAAGGUGGGAGAAUCACUUGAGGUUAGGAGUUUGGGACCAGCCCAGCUAACAUAGUGAAACCCUGUCUCUACUAAAAAUACAAAAAUUAGCCAGGUAUGGUGGCCCACUCCUCUAAUCCCAGCUACUCAGGAGGCUAAGGCACAAGAAUCGUUUGAACCCAGGAGGCAGAGGUUGCAGUAAGCCAAGAUCACACCACUGCACUCCAGCCUGGGCAACAGAGUAAGACUGUUUCAAAACAAAACAAAACAAAACAACAACAACAAAAAGAUGCCAAGGAACCAUGUUCUUGGAGAGUCUUAUCUGCUAAAGACUGUGCACUGUACUGUGAAGACAAGAAUUAGGACACAGUCCUUGUCCUCCAGGAUCUUCUGUUCUGUUACAGGAGACAGUUGUAGGGGAUGCAACUCACCCAGUCUUGGUGGUCAGGGAAGGCCACUGUAGGCAGGAUGGUACUGCUGGGAGUUAGCCAGGAAAAGAGCCAAGAGAGCAAAGGCAAACACAUGAGCAAGGGCCCAGAUGUGAGAGGAGC
Molecule: long non-coding RNA, 3349 nt
Organism: Macaca mulatta (Rhesus monkey)
Lineage: Eukaryota; Metazoa; Chordata; Mammalia; Primates; Cercopithecidae
Source: Ensembl